ACAGGGAUUGCCCUAGUAACGGCGAGUGAAGCGGCAUCAGCUCAAAUUUGAAAUCUGGCUCUUUUAGGGUCCGAGUUGUAAUUUGCAGAGGGCGCUUUGGCGUUGGCAGCGGUCCAAGUUCCUUGGAACAGGACGUCACAGAGGGUGAGAAUCCCGUACGUGGUCGCUGGCCUUCGCCGUGUAAAGCCCCUUCGACGAGUCGAGUUGUUUGGGAAUGCAGCUCUAAAUGGGAGGUAAAUUUCUUCUAAAGCUAAAUACUGGCCAGAGACCGAUAGCGCACAAGUAGAGUGAUCGAAAGAUGAAAAGCACUUUGGAAAGAGAGUCAAAUAGCACGUGAAAUUGUUGAAAGGGAAGCGCUUGCAGCCAGACUUGCCUGUAGUUGCUCAUCCGGGCUUUUGCCCGGUGCACUCUUCUGCGGGCAGGCCAGCAUCAGUCUAGGCGGUUGGAUAAAGGCCUCUGUCACGUACCUCCUUUCGGGGAGGCCUUAUAGGGGAGGCGUAAUGCAACCAGCCUGGACUGAGGUCCGCGCAUUUGCUAGGAUGCUGGCGUAAUGGCUGUAAGCGGCCCGUCUUGAAACACGGACCAAGGAGUCUAACAUCUAUGCGAGUGUUUGGGUGUCAAGCCCGAACGCGUAAUGAAAGUGAACGGAGGUGGGAUCCCUUUAGGGUGCACCAUCGACCGAUCCUGAUGUCUUCGGAUGGAUUUGAGUAAGAGCAUGGCUGUUGGGACCCGAAAGAUGGUGAACUAUGCUUGAAUAGGGUGAAGCCAGAGGAAACUCUGGUGGAGGCUCGCAGCGGUUCUGACGUGCAAAUCGAUCGUCAAAUUUGGGCAUAGGGGCGAAAGACUAA
This 848-nucleotide ribosomal RNA is filed under the name Parafenestella mackenziei. RNAcentral's name for it is "eukaryotic LSU rRNA". It matches the Rfam family "Eukaryotic large subunit ribosomal RNA", at positions 68 to 934 of the family's 3401-position model. Lineage: Eukaryota; Fungi; Ascomycota; Dothideomycetes; Pleosporales; Cucurbitariaceae. The record is from RNAcentral.